AUACCAUGAUGGGAAAACUUUCUCAAUAACCCCUUAAAACUGUCCCAUGCAUCAUAUAAAGAUUCACCUUCUGUUUGUAAGAAAUUAUUGAUAUCUCCUCUCAUCCU
Small nucleolar RNA from Humulus lupulus (European hop), 107 nucleotides. The record is from RefSeq and is a predicted model, not a curated record. Lineage: Eukaryota; Viridiplantae; Streptophyta; Magnoliopsida; Rosales; Cannabaceae.